RNAcentral lists this ribosomal RNA (275 nucleotides) under uncultured prokaryote. RNAcentral describes it as "partial 16S ribosomal RNA". It matches the Rfam family "Bacterial small subunit ribosomal RNA", at positions 524 to 798 of the family's 1533-position model. The record is from RNAcentral.
UACGGAGGAUCCGAGCGUUAUCCGGAUUUAUUGGGUUUAAAGGGUGCGCAGGCGGGAGAUUAAGUCGGCGGUGAAAUUUUGCAGCUCAACUGUAAAAGUGCCUUCGAAACUGGUUUCCUUGAGUGUGGAUGAAGUAGGCGGAAUUUGUGGUGUAGCGGUGAAAUGCAUAGAUAUCACGAGGAACUCCGAUUGCGCAGGCAGCUUACUAAACCAUAACUGACGCUCAGGCACGAAGGCGUGGGGAUCAAACAGGAUUAGAUACCCCCGUAGUCCCU